CUGUCUAGGUCUAUUAUUUGACCUUAAACCAAUCAUUUAAGAUUUUAAUAAUUUUCUAAUUUCUCGGGUUGUCACAUUCACCCCUUCUUCUAAGAAUUUCGUCCUCGAAAUUAAAGCAUCCUAACCUCUGCUCAUUCUCUUGAUCAAAACUAGGUUUUCAAUUUAACCUUUACAAUUUCCUCAUUCGAGGAUUUCUCAUCUAUUAUCACAUUUCACCAUAACUACUCACUAGGAGUUUACAUCUUCUAAACAUUCAUCAAAACUAGGUUGUCAUAAUAACCUUUAUUUAAUCAUCUCAGAUUCUACUCGUACGCAACGAGUUUACACUAUUUCAUAUCCAUCAUCACAUUCUACCACAACAUUACUUUGAAGAGUUAAAAAAAAACUUUUCAUAUCUGUCUAAGGGAUCAUAAAAUUUAUGAACUUUGAACUCCGAGGUUUAGGGGUAUUUCUACCUGCUACCUCUUUCAAUUAAGAAAGAAAGGUACUCUACCUCUUAAACAUUUCUUUAACAGGUAUGUUUACAAUCACGAAGAAGGUAAACUACCGAUUCUGGUACUUUAGAUGAUCAGUCUAUUGUACCUUAGUAAUCCGAACGACUAUAUGCGUCCUUAAAUUGGAAUAUUCUAUCCAAUUAGUAUAUCCCCAUUUUCAGGGUUGUUCACCUCAGACUUAGUAUAGGAUUCCGCACCAAAACAAUUUGGUUCGGGAAAUUUCUUUCAAUGAACACUUAGAGUUUUCAUAAACAUUAGUCUAGCUGAAUCGAAUAGCAUAGACUCAUAUCGAUAAUUCAGUUCAAUAGAAUUAUUUAAGUAUAGCCAAACCCCGUUGGCAAAUUAAAAUUUUGAAAACAUUUUUCGAGAAUGACGUCAUGAUGCCGCACUGUAUUUACAGUCCGUUGAGGAUUCCGUCAUUUGGUGAUUUUAUCAUACUACAUCAUACCAUAGUGGGUUGACGAUCCUGAGAUCACAUCCAACACUAAGUAAUACUGCAUUGAUGACUCCAUCAUUUUUUUAUCAUCUCUGCACCAGGUUGCAUGGUACAUAAGUGAUAAAUAAAAACAACUUUUGAUACUUCAAAUCUUUCGCGUCUAGCCGAAAUAAGUAGCAUAGACUGUACUUUAAACCGUUUCAAAAAUGAUUACGAGUCUAUAUUUUUGUUUUCAAAAGGCACAUAGUGCGUAUUUAGCUUGAUGUCAAAAAUUCGAAGUCUAGCAUAGCUAGAAGAUUUGGAAUACCUAUGCUUCCAUCAUCAACUUCACUUUUUCUACUGAUCCAUUACUUAAUAGAUCUAUCUAUUCUUAUAAUCCUCAAUACUUCUUUCACACAUAACUAUACCCAGUUCGUCAAACUUACCACACUUAUGAGUUCAGGAACUUACCACAAUCAUAUGAGUUUAAGAACUUUCCUAGACAGACCUUUGGCGUCCAUUCGCUGAGGGGUCCAUAAACAUUUCAUAUAAUCAUGAGUCACGAACGUACCAUAAGUAUGAGUUUUAAGAACUCGUACUUAACCUUAUAUCCUCUAUCUAUGACCUAUCUACCUGUUAUACACAUGAGAAAGGAAUCACCCUCUGAACAUGCAUAUAGCAAAUAGCGCGACAUAAACAUUUCAAUGAUUAUCAGUGCCAGAAACUAAGUGGUUUUUACACCAAGUACAAUUCAGCUCCCAUACGAAGAAUCAUACAACUCAGCUGCCGACAUGAGUCCUCAAUUGAAUCCCCACCUAACACUAACCCCUUCUCCAUACGAAUUUAAUUCGUAUUUAUAAUUCUCUUCUGGAUCUGUACCAAUUUAUAGUACAAUUCAUACACAGCAAUCUUGCUGUAAACUUUUCAUCAUUCUCUGGAUCUUUCUUCAUACCAUAACCUUAUCAGAUCACGGAGUGAUCUCAUCGUAUAUAUUACGAUUCAUUGCUAUUCUGUGAUCGUUUUGUUUUACGAUCUCCCAUCCUUACACUUGUAAUCUCUUAGACUCUAUCUAUCCACUUCCUAUACUUGGUACACAUCGAGUCUCUAACAGUUUUCAAUAUGGUACGCUGAGUGGUUUCCCACAAACAACCAACAAACUAGGUUCCGAGUUGCUAGUUCGUAUAUACCUCCGCUCUAUGAAGGAAUCGUUUAGCCCAGAUACCAUACAUCAACUAGUAUCGAGUACAAUGGUACCAUACUUAAACCUAACUUUUUGACCCUGCGAGAUUUUUCAACUAACUCUAUGUGAGUUAGUACUUAUCCUAAUCACUGCGGUUAUUGGUCUAAGGUAUUGCUACCUAAGCUGCAUAACCAACAACUUUGAUACCAAC
RNAcentral lists this long non-coding RNA (2300 nucleotides) under Panax ginseng (ginseng). RNAcentral's name for it is "long non-coding RNA (PGIN_LNC014395)". Lineage: Eukaryota; Viridiplantae; Streptophyta; Magnoliopsida; Apiales; Araliaceae. The record is from RNAcentral.